GCCUUAAAAAGUUAAAUGCGGGAAGAUC
RNAcentral lists this ribosomal RNA (28 nucleotides) under Tuber aestivum (summer truffle). RNAcentral describes it as "partial 18S ribosomal RNA". Lineage: Eukaryota; Fungi; Ascomycota; Pezizomycetes; Pezizales; Tuberaceae. The record is from RNAcentral.